AAUGAACGCUGGCGGCGUGCCUAACACAUGCAAGUCGAGCGAUGAAGCUUCCUUCGGGAAGUGGAUUAGCGGCGGACGGGUGAGUAACACGUGGGUAACCUGCCUCAAAGUGGGGAAUAGCCCUCCGAAAGGAGGAUUAAUACCGCAUAACGUAAGAGUAUCGCAUGGUACUUUUACCAAAGAUUUAUCGCUUUGAGAUGGACCCGCGGCGCAUUAGCUAGUUGGUGAGGUAAUGGCUCACCAAGGCAACGAUGCGUAGCCGACCUGAGAGGGUGAUCGGCCACAUUGGAACUGAGACACGGUCCAGACUCCUACGGGAGGCAGCAGUGGGGAAUAUUGCGCAAUGGGGAAACCCUGACGCAGCAACGCCGCGUGAGUGAUGAAGGUCUUCGGAUUGUAAAGCUCUGUUUUCUAGGACGAUAAUGACGGUACUAGAGGAGGAAGCCACGGCUAACUACGUG
Molecule: ribosomal RNA, 461 nt
Filed under: uncultured bacterium
Lineage: Bacteria
Description: bacterial SSU rRNA
Rfam family: Bacterial small subunit ribosomal RNA
Source: RNAcentral